RNAcentral lists this ribosomal RNA (700 nucleotides) under Nocardia sp. RNAcentral's name for it is "bacterial SSU rRNA". It matches the Rfam family "Bacterial small subunit ribosomal RNA", at positions 109 to 823 of the family's 1533-position model. The record is from RNAcentral. Lineage: Bacteria; Bacillati; Actinomycetota; Actinomycetes; Mycobacteriales; Nocardiaceae.
AGUAACACGUGGGUGAUCUGCCUCGCACUUCGGGAUAAGCCUGGGAAACUGGGUCUAAUACCGGAUAUGACCUGCUGUCGCAUGGCGGUGGGUGGAAAGAUUUAUCGGUGCGAGAUGGGCCCGCGGCCUAUCAGCUUGUUGGUGGGGUAAUGGCCUACCAAGGCGACGACGGGUAGCCGGCCUGAGAGGGCGACCGGCCACACUGGGACUGAGACACGGCCCAGACUCCUACGGGAGGCAGCAGUGGGGAAUAUUGCACAAUGGGCGAAAGCCUGAUGCAGCGACGCCGCGUGAGGGAUGACGGCCUUCGGGUUGUAAACCUCUUUCGACAGGGACGAAGCGCAAGUGACGGUACCUGUAGAAGAAGCACCGGCCAACUACGUGCCAGCAGCCGCGGUAAUACGUAGGGUGCGAGCGUUGUCCGGAAUUACUGGGCGUAAAGAGCUUGUAGGCGGUUUGUCGCGUCGUCUGUGAAAACUCACAGCUCAACUGUGAGCUUGCAGGCGAUACGGGCAGACUUGAGUACUGCAGGGGAGACUGGAAUUCCUGGUGUAGCGGUGAAAUGCGCAGAUAUCAGGAGGAACACCGGUGGCGAAGGCGGGUCUCUGGGCAGUAACUGACGCUGAGAAGCGAAAGCGUGGGUAGCGAACAGGAUUAGAUACCCUGGUAGUCCACGCCGUAAACGGUGGGCGCUAGGUGU